GACACGGUCCAGACACCUACGGGUGGCAGCAGUCGAGAAUUUUUCUCAAUGGGGGAAACCCUGAAGGAGCGACGCCGCGUGGAGGAUGAAGGUCUUCGGAUUGUAAACUCCUGUCAUUAGUGAACAAAGUUCGCGCUUUACUGGUUGCGAAUUUGCUAGUAACUGAAGAGGAAGAGGCGGCAAACUCUGUGCCAGCAGCCGCGGUAAUACAGAGGCCUCAAGCGUUGUUCGGAUUUAUUGGGCGUAAAGGGUGCGUAGGCGGUACCGAAAGUUAGGUGUGAAAGUUCGAGGCUCAACCUCGAAAUUGCACCUAAUACUCCGGUGCUUGAGUCUCAUAGAGGAAUCUGGAAUUCACGGUGUAGCAGUGAAAUGCGUAGAUAUCGUGAAGAAGGCCUGUGGCGAAAGCAAGAUUCUGGGUGACGACUGACGCUGAGGCACGAAAGCCAGGGGAGCAAACGGGAUUAGAUACCCCGGUAGUCCUGGCAGUAAACGGUGUGCGUUUGGUGUGGGCAGCUCGACACUGUCCGCGCCGAAGCUAACGCAUUAAACGCACCGCCUGGGUAGUACGAUCGCAAGAUUAAAACUCAAAGAAAUUGACGGGGGCCCGCACAAGCGGUGGAGUAUGUGGCUUAAUUCGAUCCACGCGAAGAACCUUACCUAGGCUUGCCAUGCAACUGAAUACAUGUGAAAGCGUGUCGUGUAGCAAUACACAGUUGCACAGGUGCUGCAUGGCUGUCGUCAGCUCGUGUCGUGAGAUGUUGGGUUAAGUCCCGCAACGAGCGCAACCCCUAUUGAUUGUUACCUGACCUAGUCAGGCUCUCUAUCAAAACUGCCUCGCAAAACGGGGAGGAAGGCGGGGAUGACGUCAAGUCAGCAUGGCCCUUACGCCUAGGGCUGCACACGUACUACAAUGCUCAGUACAAUUUGAGCCGGCUCUGCAAAGACUCGGAAAUCAUUAAAACUGAACUCAGUUCGGAUUGCGGGCUGCAACUCGCCCGCAUGAAGCUGGAAUCGCUAGUGAUGCCGUAUCAGCUACGACGGCGUGAAUACGUUCCCGGGCCUUGUACACACCGCCCGUCACAUCAUGGAAGUUGGUAGCUCCCGAAGCGUGGAUAUGAUUCUUCACCUCCGCGUUAAGGAACCACCGGUAACUGGGAUGAAGUCGUAACAAGGUAGCCGUAGGGGAACCUGCGGCUG
RNAcentral lists this ribosomal RNA (1197 nucleotides) under metagenome. RNAcentral describes it as "bacterial SSU rRNA". It matches the Rfam family "Bacterial small subunit ribosomal RNA", at positions 323 to 1520 of the family's 1533-position model. The record is from RNAcentral.